CUGGGCAAUAUGUUACACAAAGCAAGGGGCAAGCGGGGGGAAAAUAAAAAUCAGAAUACCCCAAUGGAGAACCUGUCUCUGUGGUUCAUACAUUUCACUGCUGCUCCAUUUCACAAAUAGAUUUGAACCCAGUUAACCUGGUAAAAAGCUUUCCUGAACCAUGUUAUUCAAUUUCCCCACUUGAUUUCCUUGUAUUUGCUGUUUUUAGCACAUUUCCUAUAAGACCCCCAGGUUUAUUCACACAGGAGCUCCCCCCCUGCUGCCACCACCACUCACCUCUCAGUGUAUUUGCUGAAAGUGUUAUUGGCCAAGUUCUCCACAUUGUAGUUUGAAUAAACAAAUAAAUGUGUAUUGACCAUUCAUUUAGUGCUGGGUGACUAACUCCUGGCCCGUGGACCUCUGAGUGUCUCCUGAUUUGGCAGAUAUGGCACUUCAGGGUAGUUUUCCAUUUAAACAGACAGACAAACACACACACACACACACACACACAAAACCCCUUCCCAUUUUUGCCUUUGUGGUGUUCCCUGAGCCGUCUCAAAUGUCCUGUGUUAAAGUAUAGGCAAUUUGCAUGUCCUUAAUCCUGUAAUUCCACCCCCUCCUACAAAUGGUUCCUGCUCAAUUAUUUGCAUAUCUAUAAUAUUAAACAAUAAAAUCCAAACUCAUUUAUUAAUGAACAGUAUAAAGCAACAUAUCAAGAGAAUC
Molecule: long non-coding RNA, 702 nt
Organism: Podarcis raffonei (Aeolian wall lizard)
Lineage: Eukaryota; Metazoa; Chordata; Lepidosauria; Squamata; Lacertidae
Exons: 2
Source: RefSeq, a predicted model, not a curated record